CUGCUCUGCCCUAUUACAUGGAUCAGUGGGUAGAUGGAAUAGGGCUCCGAGUGUCAGGUCAGCAUGUCAGUUCCCUCAGACAGUCGAGCCGCUGGCUGUACAGUCUGUGAGCAGGAUGGUCUUGCGAUACCCUGCUUGGGUGUAUAGAGUCCUGGCUAGGUAGAGUAGGAAACAGUGUCUAGGGUUUAGAGGUUCUUGGCUUUCCUUGUGAGCGAUCCCUGAAUGUUUGAGAGCUGAGUGUUUGAGCUUUUGCCCAUUUCAUUUGCAGGGGCGGUCUUGGGAGCAGCUGAAGAGAGAGGAGCCUUGUAGGUAUCCCGGAAGGUGAGAGCCCCAGUGUCUGACUCCGGUCAGGGCCUCGGUGCUGUUGACUUGGAGUAACCUCGUGAUCGCAGGAACCACUUCACGAUGGGGCAACUGACCCAGAUUGGUCGUCUUGAGCUGUCCUCAUCUGCAAUCUCCGAGUAUUAAAAUGAUUAGCAAAGAGGCACUGAGCUUUAGUGAUGGCAGGUGCCAUCCGGGUAACUUUUGGGAGUGUCCGGGUAUUGGAGAUGAGUCGGGUAGGCAGCAUGAGAAGCGGGGAUGAACUGCAGCUUUAGAAAUGCCCACUAAUUUUUUCUUUCUUAUAUUUCUCUUAGGCUCUUCUCCUUAUUUUUAUUCUCUUAGUCUC
This is a long non-coding RNA of Lepidothrix coronata (blue-crowned manakin), 667 nucleotides long. RefSeq lists it as uncharacterized. The record is from RefSeq and is a predicted model, not a curated record. The transcript has 3 exons. Lineage: Eukaryota; Metazoa; Chordata; Aves; Passeriformes; Pipridae.